RNAcentral lists this long non-coding RNA (250 nucleotides) under Elaeis guineensis (African oil palm). RNAcentral describes it as "long non-coding RNA (EGUI_LNC003392)". Lineage: Eukaryota; Viridiplantae; Streptophyta; Magnoliopsida; Arecales; Arecaceae. The record is from RNAcentral.
UGCCGGAUAUGAUCUAAUGGCCCAUGUCACAAAAGAAAACCAAUCAUUCUUUCAUACAAAAGAAAUAACUUGAACGCAUGGCGAUGAGGGGGUUGAAGGGUAUUUUAUUAAUGACUAUGAUCAUUUUUGAUAAAAUAGAUGCUAUGGAUGCCUAACUAUACUAAAAUUUGAGUAAAAGUCUCUUUUUAAGAAAGAAAAAUUUUUAUAUACCAAGUGUUGCUCUUGAUCUCCUCAUCUGAGAUCGACUGCC